GAUGAACGCUGGCGGCGUGCCUAAUACAUGCGAGUCGAGCGAACGGACGAGAAGCUUGCUUUUCUGAUGUUAGCGGCGGACGGGUGAGUAACACGUGGAUAACCUACCUAUAAGACUGGGAUAACUUCGGGAAACCGGAGCUAAUACCGGAUAAUAUUUUGAACCGCAUGGUUCAAAAGUGAAAGACGGUCUUGCUGUCACUUAUAGAUGGAUCCGCGCUGCAUUAGCUAGUUGGUAAGGUAACGGCUUACCAAGGCAACGAUGCAUAGCCGACCUGAGAGGGUGAUCGGCCACACUGGAACUGAGACACGGUCCAGACUCCUACGGGGGGCAGCAGUAGGGAAUCUUCCGCAAUGGGCGAAAGCCUGACGGAGCAACGCCGCGUGAGUGAUGAAGGUCUUCGGAUCGUAAAACUCUGUUAUUAGGGAAGAACAUAUGUGUAAGUAACUGUGCACAUCUUGACGGUACCUAAUCAGAAAGCCACGGCUAACUACGUG
Molecule: ribosomal RNA, 497 nt
Filed under: uncultured bacterium
Lineage: Bacteria
Description: partial 16S ribosomal RNA
Rfam family: Bacterial small subunit ribosomal RNA
Source: RNAcentral